This 274-nucleotide ribosomal RNA is filed under the name uncultured bacterium. RNAcentral describes it as "partial 16S ribosomal RNA". It matches the Rfam family "Bacterial small subunit ribosomal RNA", at positions 523 to 796 of the family's 1533-position model. The record is from RNAcentral.
AUACGUAGGCAGCGAGCGUUGUUCGGAGUUACUGGGCGUAAAGCGUGCGUAGGCGGUUCCGCAAGUUCGGUGUGAAAUAUCCCGGCUCAACUGGGAGGGUGCGCCGAAAACUGCGGAGCUUGAGCGUGGGAGAGGGAAGCGGAAUUCCUGGUGUAGCGGUGAAAUGCGUAGAUAUCAGGAGGAACACCGGUGGUGUAGACGGCUUCCUGGACCACUGCUGACGCUGAGGCACGAAAGCGUGGGGAGCAAACAGGAUUAGAAACCCCAGUAGUCC